This 82-nucleotide non-coding RNA is filed under the name Blautia caecimuris. RNAcentral's name for it is "S10-Clostridia ribosomal protein leader". It matches the Rfam family "S10-Clostridia ribosomal protein leader". The record is from RNAcentral. Lineage: Bacteria; Bacillati; Bacillota; Clostridia; Lachnospirales; Lachnospiraceae.
UGAUAGCAAUGAAGCGCGAGGUUGCUGCUUUGAUUAGCAGGUUUUCCGUGGAGCGAAUGUCAAGUUAGGAAACUGACGACAA